CAACGCGUACCGCACACCAACGUUUCCACAGUUUCGGACGCAGUAUAUCCGCCGGCGCAGCCAGCUGCUGCGGGAGAAUGCCAAGGCUGGGCACCCCCCAGCGCUGCGUCGGCAGUACCUGAGGCUUCGGGGGCAGCUGCUCGGCCAGCGCUACGGGCCCCUCUCCGAGCCAGGCAGUGCUCGUGCCUAUAGCAACAGCAUCGUCCGCAGUAGCCGUACUACUCUUGACCGCAUGGAGGACUUUGAGGAUGAUCCUCGGGCUCUGGGGGCCCGUGGGCACCGUCGUUCUGUCAGCAGAGGCUCCUACCAGCUGCAGGCGCAGAUGAACCGUGCCGUCUAUGAGGACAGCGUGGUGCCCACAUCAGCGGCAGAGGCAAGUCGGGCCAUGGCCGGGGACACAUCACUGAGCGAGAACUAUGCCUUUGCGGGCAUGUACCAUGUUUUUGACCAGCACGUGGAUGAGGCAGUCCCAAGGGUGCGCUUCGCCAAUGAUGACCGACACCGCCUGGCCUGCUGCUCACUCGACGGCAGCAUCUCCCUGUGCCAGCUGGUGCCUGCCCCACCCACAGUGCUUCGCGUGCUACGGGGCCACACCCGCGGUGUCUCCGACUUCGCCUGGUCCCUCUCCAAUGACAUCCUCGUGUCCACCUCACUGGAUGCCACCAUGCGCAUCUGGGCCUCUGA
RNAcentral lists this small RNA (684 nucleotides) under Pongo abelii (Sumatran orangutan). RNAcentral's name for it is "retained intron". Lineage: Eukaryota; Metazoa; Chordata; Mammalia; Primates; Hominidae. The record is from RNAcentral.